This 76-nucleotide transfer RNA is filed under the name Verrucomicrobiaceae bacterium TMED76. Its description in RNAcentral is "tRNA-Thr". It matches the Rfam family "tRNA". Rfam says of the family: Transfer RNA (tRNA) molecules are approximately 80 nucleotides in length. Their secondary structure includes four short double-helical elements and three loops (D, anti-codon, and T loops). The record is from RNAcentral. Lineage: Bacteria; Pseudomonadati; Verrucomicrobiota; Verrucomicrobiia; Verrucomicrobiales; Verrucomicrobiaceae. RNAcentral also lists the same sequence under 4 other names.
GCCGGCUUAGCUCAGUUGGUAGAGCAACUGAUUUGUAAUCAGUAGGUCUCCGGUUCGAAUCCGGAAGCCGGCUCCA